RNAcentral lists this ribosomal RNA (471 nucleotides) under uncultured bacterium. Its description in RNAcentral is "bacterial SSU rRNA". It matches the Rfam family "Bacterial small subunit ribosomal RNA", at positions 28 to 531 of the family's 1533-position model. The record is from RNAcentral.
GACGAACGCUGGCGGCGUGCCUAACACAUGCAAGUCAAGGGUAGCAAUACACUGGCGCACGGGUGAGUAACGCGUAGGUCAUCUGCCUCUAUCCGGAACAAAACGGCGGGAAACUGUCGCUAAUAUUCCAUGAGGCCGGGAGGUCAAAGUAGCAAUAUGGAUAGAGAUGAGCCUGCGUCUGAUUAGCUAGUUGGUAGGGUAAAAGCCUACCAAGGCGACGAUCAGUAGCUGGUCUGAGAGGACGAUCAGCCACACUGGAACUGAGACACGGUCCAGACUCCUACGGGAGGCAGCAGUGAGGAAUAUUGCUCAAUGGCCGCAAGGCUGAAGCAGCAACGCCGCGUGAGGGAUGAAGGAUCUAUGGUCUGUAAACCUCUGUAGAGAAGGAAAAUAAUUCAUUACAUGAAUAUGAUAGUACUUUUAGAGUAAGCCCCGGCUAACUACGUGCCAGCAGCCGCGGUAAUUCUCGCG